Wasmannia auropunctata (little fire ant) is the source of this 936-nucleotide long non-coding RNA. RefSeq lists it as uncharacterized. NCBI's taxonomy places the organism in Eukaryota, Metazoa, Arthropoda, Insecta, Hymenoptera, Formicidae. The transcript has 5 exons. The record is from RefSeq and is a predicted model, not a curated record.
AUACAUAACAUACAUACAAGCAGAAUAUCCAUGAAUUUAAUAGCCUAGGUACAGUAACAACUUUUAAAUAUGUAUUUCAUAAACGAAUAAUCGUAGAUGUAAAAAUGUAGUACCAUUUUCACAUCGUUUGACGGUAAAAGUAAAUUUAACUACUUCGAAAAAGUUUACCGCAAUUUUUUGCUCGACAUGACAUAGAAAAUAAAAUACAGAUAUUUACUCUGUGGUUGUUGCUAAAAAAAAGUAAAACUAUCGGCACUAGAUAUACAAAUAGAUACAGGAAAUUCUUUGAAUAACAGUUGGGCUAUUGAAUAGCAGAGAGAGUCUUCGUGGACAGUUUGAAAUAGAAAUCGAAAACGACAAAUGUGUGCAGGACAUUCCUGGAUAUGUUUCAAGAGCUGUUUUUAGAUUUUCGAAUUUAUCGGACAGUAUUAAUAACAGAAAUGCCGCAUUGUGCGCAUGUUAUAACGAUUGGAGCUGCAACUACGUGGAGUCGAACUCGACUGUAACGAAUUUUCCGCAAAUGUGCAGGACUGAAGGGUUCUCGUCAAUCAAGACUCUUUGUUUUGAGAAAACUGCUUUUGAAGGCGUAGCAGCAAUAUCCUAGAUACGUUUAUGUAACGAAGAAAUAUGUGCACAUGGUUUGCAGGCUAUUUAUAUAAAACGUAGUUUUCUACUUUGAAGAUCAACUCUAUAAAAUUCAAUAUUAUGACAUAACUCUUCUAGAAUAUCACGCUUCACCGCUCCUGCUACAAUAAUACGCAACAAAGAGUGACAUUUCUGCAUUGUUAAACUAUAGAAGACAAAGUUUUAGCUAAAAAGCUGAAAGAGUAACAUACAACAUAGUAACAAAAUAAAUUUUUUUCAUUAAACUGUGUUAUUGCUAAUUACAACCGGCGCAUAGGAAUAAAGAUAAGAUAAAAAAUACCAUGAAAUUUU